Molecule: ribosomal RNA, 660 nt
Filed under: uncultured fungus
Lineage: Eukaryota; Fungi
Description: eukaryotic LSU rRNA
Rfam family: Eukaryotic large subunit ribosomal RNA
Source: RNAcentral
CCCGCUGAACUUAAGCAUAUCAAUAAGCGGAGGAAAAGAAACUAACAAGGAUUCCCCUAGUAACUGCGAGUGAAGCGGGAAAAGCUCAAAUUUAAAAUCUGGCGGUCCUUGUGGCCGUCCGAGUUGUAAUUUAGAGAAGUGUUAUCCGCGCUGGACCGUGUACAAGUCUCCUGGAGUGGAGCGUCAUAGAGGGUGAGAAUCCCGUCUUUGACACGGACUGCCAGGGCAUUGUGAUACGCUCUCAAAGAGUCGAGUUGUUUGGGAAUGCAGCUCAAAAUGGGUGGUAAAUUCCAUCUAAAGCUAAAUAUUGGGGAGAGACCGAUAGCGAACAAGUACCGUGAGGGAAAGAUGAAAAGAACUUUGGAAAGAGAGUUAAACAGUACGUGAAAUUGCUGAAAGGGAAACGCUUGAAGUCAGUCACGUCUGCCAGGACUCAGCCUCGCUUCUGCUUGGUGUACUUUCUGGUUUGAUGGGCCAACAUCAAUUUUGACCGUUGGAGAAAGGCUUUGGGAAUGUGGCACCUUUGGGUGUGUUAUAGCCCUUUGUCGUAUGCAGCGGUUGGGAUUGAGGACUGCAGCACGCCUUCAUGGCCGGGGUUCGCCCACGUACGUGCUUAGGAUGUUGGCAUAAUGGCUUUAAGCGACCCGUCUUGAAACACGG